This 771-nucleotide ribosomal RNA is filed under the name uncultured bacterium. RNAcentral describes it as "bacterial SSU rRNA". It matches the Rfam family "Bacterial small subunit ribosomal RNA", at positions 8 to 796 of the family's 1533-position model. The record is from RNAcentral.
AGAGUUUGAUCCUGGCUCAGGACGAACGCUGGCGGCGUGCUUAACACAUGCAAGUCGAACGGAAAGGCCCUUCGGGGUACUCGAGUGGCGAACGGGUGAGUAACACGUGGGUGAUCUGCCCUGCACUUUGGGAUAAGCCUGGGAAACUGGGUCUAAUACCGAAUAGGACUACGCGAUGCAUGUCGUGUGGUGGAAAGCUUUUGCGGUGUGGGAUGGGCCCGCGGCCUAUCAGCUUGUUGGUGAGGUUACGGCUCACCAAGGCGACGACGGGUAGCCGGCCUGAGAGGGUGACCGGCCACACUGGGACUGAGAUACGGCCCAGACUCCUACGGGAGGCAGCAGUGGGGAAUAUUGCACAAUGGGCGCAAGCCUGAUGCAGCGACGCCGCGUGAGGGAUGACGGCCUUCGGGUUGUAAACCUCUUUCGCCAGGGACGAAGCGCAAGUGACGGUACCUGGAGAAGAAGGACCGGCCAACUACGUGCCAGCAGCCGCGGUAAUACGUAGGGUCCGAGCGUUGUCCGGAAUUACUGGGCGUAAAGAGCUCGUAGGUGGUUUGUCGCGUUGUUCGUGAAAACUCACAGCUCAACUGUGGGCGUGCGGGCGAUACGGGCAGACUGGAGUACUGCAGGGGAGACUGGAAUUCCUGGUGUAGCGGUGGAAUGCGCAGAUAUCAGGAGGAACACCGGUGGCGAAGGCGGGUCUCUGGGCAGUAACUGACGCUGAGGAGCGAAAGCGUGGGGAGCGAACAGGAUUAGAUACCCUGGUAGUCC